Molecule: long non-coding RNA, 1389 nt
Filed under: Setaria italica (foxtail millet)
Lineage: Eukaryota; Viridiplantae; Streptophyta; Magnoliopsida; Poales; Poaceae
Description: long non-coding RNA (SITA_LNC000386)
Source: RNAcentral
UCUUCAAGGGGUCGGGGGCGUCCGACCCCGGGACACUGGGUCGGGCGAGGCGGAGCGUGGCUCUCUCCUCCCGUGUUGGGCCGACGGCAAUCUUUGUUGCCUUAGGUGGCCCUGGGCCUUUAUAAUUUGUUAUUUUCAUGGGCUUUAGGAGGUCGUUAAUAUUUCCCCCCAACACCACCAUAGCCUCCCUACAUCGUGGUUGUGUCAUGGUGGAGAUCAGGAGCUAUUUGGGAUAAUCAAUGGUAUGUGCUCUGAGGAAAUGAUCUAAACAUAUCUAUUAUAUGAGCAAUGUUCUCCAUGUCAUCCGAUCUGUUAGCGACUCGAUGCCUCCUUUUAUGCUCUUAUACUUAUCAUGAAUAUGCUUGUUCCUCGAUCUAAUUCAUGGUUAGACUACAUAGCAUGCUUUUGUGUAAUCAUGGUGAUUAGAUCUAGUGUGUUGACCCUUCAUGAUAGCUAGAGACGUUUACCUUGUGAUCAUGCCCUUAUUCUACCUAUGCUGAUAUAGAGGAUCGUGACGAGGUCUUUCUUGUGUAAGGUGGGGGUUUUCGAGAGGUUGAAUGGAGGUAGUAGUUUAAAGAUUGCUUUUGAUGAGAUGCAGGUUGAGCUUGCUUAUUAGCUAGAACUACAACUAAAAGAUGAUAGGCUUUUGCUACCCUAUAUAUAUAUAUAUAUAUAUCGCAGAGGGAAGAUGGCUGAAAGAGGGAAAAACGAGCGACUUCGAAAAAUUCGGAUUUCAAAUUUCGAGUUACUAUUCAUAGCACUAUUCAAAUUUAGCGAACACUAUUCAAAUUCGCGGCACUAUUUAAAUUCAGCUCACUAUUCAAAUUCGGGAAUAUGAAUAGUGCCCGAGCACUCACCAGGGAGUGGGUGGAGCACCUCAGGGUGGAUGGGAAUGUGGCGGCGCUAUUCACUCACUAUUGCGCACUAUUGAGCUACUAUUCGGGGUCGCUUUCAGAGGAUAUGGUACGCGCGGGUGCGUGAUUAGGUAUAUAUCAUUGAUUAUAUCUAUUCUCAGGAUCUUUGCAGGGAGUAAACGAAGCAUAACCCUUAGCCCAGACACCGUGUCUACGCUACCAAUUACUUCCACAGUCUAACUACGUCUAGUACCCCAUAGCAGACUAGGGCACUCUGUAUAAAUAAAGAGCAACAAACCCACAAGUAAGAGAACUGAUCUCACUCAAAUAUAAGCACUACUAGUGUAUACUAUAUCAAGGUCUAAAGGCAUACAUUAGAGCAUACAAGCCAAUACUAUGAUAGCAAGGGUAUAUGACUAGCAUACAAGGCUAUACUAUGAUAGCAAGGGUAUACGCGGUGAAUCUAGUCGGUUUACUCCCGUCUGUGGGCCUAUGGAUCGUUGUGCUUACUUCUGAUUGGUUGAGAGUGUGUUUC